CGGGUGGUAAUGCCGGAUGUUCCACAUGAUCGCAUGUGAUUGUGGGAAAGAUUCUAUCGGCGUGGGAUGGGGUCGCGUCCUAUCAGCUUGUUGGUGAGGUAACGGCUCACCAAGGCUUCGACGGGUAGCCGGCCUGAGAGGGCGACCGGCCACAUUGGGACUGAGAUACGGCCCAGACUCCUACGGGAGGCAGCAGUGGGGAAUAUUGCACAAUGGGCGCAAGCCUGAUGCAGCGACGCCGCGUGAGGGAUGGAGGCCUUCGGGUUGUAAACCUCUUUUGUUUGGGAGCAAGCCUUCGGGUGAGUGUACCUUUCGAAUAAGCGCCGGCUAACUACGUGCCAGCAGCCGCGGUAAUACGUAGGGCGCAAGCGUUAUCCGGAUUUAUUGGGCGUAAAGGGCUCGUAGGCGGCUCGUCGCGUCCGGUGUGAAAGUCCAUCGCUUAACGGUGGAUCUGCGCCGGGUACGGGCGGGCUGGAGUGCGGUAGGGGAGACUGGAAUUCCCGGUGUAACGGUGGAAUGUGUAGAUAUCGGAAAAAAAA
This 539-nucleotide ribosomal RNA is filed under the name Bifidobacterium bifidum. RNAcentral describes it as "bacterial SSU rRNA". It matches the Rfam family "Bacterial small subunit ribosomal RNA", at positions 157 to 708 of the family's 1533-position model. The record is from RNAcentral. Lineage: Bacteria; Bacillati; Actinomycetota; Actinomycetes; Bifidobacteriales; Bifidobacteriaceae.